UGGGGAAUAUUGCACAAUGGGGGAAACCCUGAUGCAGCGACGCCGCGUGAGCGAAGAAGGCCUUCGGGUCGUAAAGCUCUUUUAUAUGGGAAGAUAAUGACGGUACCAUAAGAAAAAGCCCCGGCUAACUACGUGCCAGCAGCCGCGGUAAUACGUAGGGGGCUAGCGUUGUCCGGAAUCACUGGGCGUAAAGGGUUCGCAGGCGGCAAUGCAAGUCAGAUGUAAAAGGCAAAGGCUCAACCUUUGUAAGCAUCUGAAACUGUAUAGCUUGAGAAGUGUAGAGGCAAGUGGAAUUUUUAGUGUAGCGGUGAAAUGCGUAGAUAUUUGGAAGAACACCGGUGGCGAAGGCGGCCUUCUGGGCCACGACUGACGCUGAGGCGCGAAAGCUAGGGGAGCGAACAGG
Molecule: ribosomal RNA, 403 nt
Filed under: Verrucomicrobiota bacterium
Lineage: Bacteria; Pseudomonadati; Verrucomicrobiota
Description: Verrucomicrobia bacterium partial 16S ribosomal RNA
Rfam family: Bacterial small subunit ribosomal RNA
Source: RNAcentral